CUCAUAUUAAAAGAUAUAAAAUUUUAAUCAAUAACGAGAGUGACGGGCGAUGUGUACACACUUCAGAGCCAAUAUCAGUUAAAUUAAAUAAUUUAAAUUACUAUCAAAUCCACCUUCAUUAAAAUAUUUCAAAAUUAAAUCCAUAAUAAAAAAAAAUUAUUGUAACCCAUCAUACACUUAAUUAUAAGCUGCACCUUGACCUGAAAUAAAUUUUAAUAAAAAAACAAGAAAAUUUUUUCUCCAAAAAGAUUUUCUGAUUAACGGAGAUAUACAAACAAAUAAAUUAAGUAAAGUAAAUCGUGUACUAUCAAUCAUGAGAUAGGUUCCUCUGAAUGGAAUGAAAUACCGCCAAAUUCUUUGGGUUUAAAGACCUUAACUAAUAAUACCCAGGUAAAACAAAAUUUACAUUUAAAAUAAUA
This 419-nucleotide ribosomal RNA is filed under the name Locusta migratoria (migratory locust). RNAcentral describes it as "partial 12S rRNA". Lineage: Eukaryota; Metazoa; Arthropoda; Insecta; Orthoptera; Acrididae. The record is from RNAcentral.